UAUCUUUUAAAAUGUUACAUCAUAUUAACAUAGAAAAAAAUGAAACAUUUUAUUAUGACAUUUGUCGGCAUUUGAUUUCAGAAGGACGUAAUCCCUAUGGAAGUUACGGCAGGUCCAACAGAGGGGGGCUUCCUCAACUUGGAUCAGGUCGUGGCGGCGCUAGUAAUGGUGGAUUGCGAUGCAGUAUGCCUAAUUAAACUAGCUACAUGGAUGUUAGAAACAGCAAACAGCUAUCUUAAUAAAUGUAUUGACAUUCUUAAAUACAAAGGGACAAAUAACUUUGACUACAUUUACAUAUAAAUUAUAAAUUGCUUACAUUUAGAUAUGUUAUUAUUAACAUUGAUUACAAGUGCCUACAUGUAACUAUAUAUGUAUGUACCUUUAGUUAAAUGAUUUAUGCUUGAACAGUUUCAAGUUAAGAAACCUCUCAAAUACAAUAUCAAGCGAGAUAAGAGAAUAUGGGUCACGCAUCAAAAAUGUUUGAAAUGCAUGAUUGUUGAAAUGAUUGUUAACAACAAAAACAAUGGUUUGUAAAACAAUACACUUGUAAACUUUAAAUCUAUAUUUGUAACAGAAAUAGAAAAAAUAUAUUAUAGCAUAAAAUCGGCUAUUUUUCCCUUUUUUGCCCAUGUUAUAACGGGGCCAAAACCAUGCGUUAAUAUAGUCACGCGCUCUUGUUAUAGCCCGGUUAUACCUAUGCGCAAUACA
Long non-coding RNA from Ruditapes philippinarum (Manila clam), 708 nucleotides. RefSeq lists it as uncharacterized. The transcript is spliced from 4 exons. Lineage: Eukaryota; Metazoa; Mollusca; Bivalvia; Venerida; Veneridae. The record is from RefSeq and is a predicted model, not a curated record.